CCGCACGAACUUCGCAACACGGCCGUGGUCCAUCAAGGUUUUCUCAUCGAAUCCAAUCCAAACUCGAGUCAGUUAAGGACUACCACUACGACUCGGACUACGUCCAAGAGAUCCCUUUAUUAGGCCCAGCUCAAGGCUUAGUAAUUACUUCAACCCCACAGGGAAGAUUCAUUUAUUGGCCUGGAAUGAAGCCAUCUUUCCUAGCCCAAGAUCAUGAGUCACACCUUGUCGCUCACAUAGACAACCUCC
Molecule: long non-coding RNA, 249 nt
Filed under: Setaria italica (foxtail millet)
Lineage: Eukaryota; Viridiplantae; Streptophyta; Magnoliopsida; Poales; Poaceae
Description: long non-coding RNA (SITA_LNC004451)
Source: RNAcentral